Molecule: long non-coding RNA, 212 nt
Filed under: Homo sapiens (human)
Lineage: Eukaryota; Metazoa; Chordata; Mammalia; Primates; Hominidae
Description: non-protein coding lnc-MBOAT1-2:9
Source: RNAcentral
UGUGUGUGUGUGUCUGGGUGCCUAUGCGUGUGUGUGCCCAUGGGUGGGUUGAAGCAGCCCCUAGACAGGGAAAAGAGGCUGUCUUCAGGCAAUAGGCCCUAUUUAGGAGUGCAGUGUGCCCUAAAAUUCAAAAGAGGGCAGCAGAUAACUAUGCUGCUCAUGGCUACCUAUAUAGGCCUACUAGCUUCUCCAAACAUCACAUAGAGGUAAAG